UUUUGAGGAAGCCAUUUGAACCUGUUCAUGUGCCUUUCGGGUAUCUAGUCUAAUCCACACUGUAAACGCCACAGAGGCAAUGUCGACUGAUUUGAGCUCAUCCUAAGGCCAAGGGGAGAUGUUGAGGCCAAUGUAAGAACUACCUUUUCAAACAGGGAAACGCCUUCAUCUCCAUUAUUGAUGACGCACUCCGCACCGGCUCCCACUGUAAUUUUUAAUGGACAAAUGGCCAAUGCAGUGGCCAGGAAUACGCACCUGCUGGACCUAAGAAAAGCCUCAGGCAGCUUUCUCUUUCUAACCUACGGCUGCCCCGUGCUGUUUGUUCCAAAAGAGACACCCACCUAAUUAACUAAAGAACAUUUCCUUUAUUUCUGAACCCUUGUUCAUUGAGCCUGCUAGUUCUGAAAUUAUCCAUCAUGUAUACUUGCAAGGACCCAAUAUUUUAUUUCACAUACCUUGUGCAGUUUUGAUCAACUUCGGAGCCAGAAGACGACCGGCCUCUCUUCCAACUCCACCCACGCGUGAGUUGAUGACGCCUUCCCUUGGUCAGACAAGAGAUGGAUUUCCCUGGUCCUGUCAGAGGCCCCCUUUUCCCGGGACACCCGUACCUGGACAGCGUUUAUUUCCUGGAGCAUCCCAAACUCUCCGGACAAGAAACUUGCCCACUGAUGACGGUCGGUCAGCGGCUGUUUUGAGACUGGUUUUAUUGUAACUGGUUGUCCGUCUCAAUGUUGUUCCAACACUGAACUAAGUCAACAAGCUAUCCAAGAACUAUAAUUUAGCCCACUUAUUAUUUAAUCAAAUUCAUAUAAAUUGUUAUUGAAUUAAAAUAUGAGUUUAUAAUAUAUAGUUUUGAUUUAUCGAAUCAUAUUGUGUUAGUUAUUAAUAAUGUAUCUAAAUUGCAAUAAUUUAAUGAGACUGAUUUUAAAUAGGAUAUUACCCUUUCGAAUCUACACUGCCCGUUUACCAGUAAAGGCUUUUAUUGGAAACACUUUGAGUUUGCUACUGGCUAUAUUGUUCUGAAGCCUGACAUUUUUUAUUGAAUCUGGGUCUCAAUGGUUGCAAUAGAGUGGAAUGUAAAAAUGAACUUGUUCACUUUAAUUUGUCAUAAGUUUCUUUCAUUGGUAGGGUACAAAAUAUGUCAAAAACAAAAUCAAACCAUUAAAAAACACUGAUUUAAAACUCGAACACAGAUUUUUUAAUGAAUUUACAAACUAUUAUUUUUUAAUCAUUUUCAACAUAUAACAUGAACUGUCCUGUAUUUUUCAUUUCAUCAGUAGCUUAUAAAAGAUUUCAGCAAUACAAUUUUUUACAUUUUGACAAUUGUAACAUUUUUCAUUUUCUUUUGACCCCUUUUCCUCUUCAAACAGGGAUUUGUUCUCACAUUUUUCACAUUUUAUUUUCUGUGAGCAAAUUUGAAGCAAAGUCAACCUGUACCUGUUUUGACCUGUUUUGUUUAGACCUUGUUGUGCUUGGACUGGAUUUUGGAUUCUCCUUUUGUUUGGACUGCCUGUGAGUUAUCAAUAUUAAUCAAUAUUUGCUUGUGACAUCGACCACGUCCUGGAUUAUCCCUGCUGAACCUGUUUGCUUGUGUAGUGACCCCGAACUUUGGGCCCUUGAGCAAGGCCCUUAACCCUGCAUUGCUCCAGGGGAGGAUUGUCUCCUGCUUAGUCUAAUCAACUGUACGUCGCUCUGGAUAAGAUCACCUGCCAAAUGCCAAUAAUGUAAUGUAAUGCCUGAUCUGUCACUACUGUUUGCUGGAUAUCGACCCCUGCCUAUCUGAUCUGUUUUGAAGUGAAUAAAGACUUUAACAUUA
Conger conger (European conger) is the source of this 1816-nucleotide long non-coding RNA. RefSeq lists it as uncharacterized. NCBI's taxonomy places the organism in Eukaryota, Metazoa, Chordata, Actinopteri, Anguilliformes, Congridae. The record is from RefSeq and is a predicted model, not a curated record. The transcript is spliced from 2 exons.